AGCUGGAUGGUGGCAUAGAGAGGAGCGUGGCGCCAGUGAGGCCUGCGUCGCAUGAAGGCAGGGUUGGGGAGGCUAGAGGCUUGGAGGUGCAAGAGAGACCUAGGGUGGGUGAUGUGCCAGAGAGACCUAGGGUUGGUGAUGUGCUGCCAGAGAGACCUAAGUUGAAGCUGCUUCCUCGCUCCAAGCCAAUCGAGGCUUCAGAACCAUCUCCUGUCUAUGUUGAAGAGAAGCAGGUUAUUACUCUUGCUCCCAUGUG
Molecule: long non-coding RNA, 256 nt
Filed under: Oryza sativa (Asian cultivated rice)
Lineage: Eukaryota; Viridiplantae; Streptophyta; Magnoliopsida; Poales; Poaceae
Description: long non-coding RNA (OSAT_LNC001373)
Source: RNAcentral